This 479-nucleotide ribosomal RNA is filed under the name uncultured bacterium. RNAcentral describes it as "bacterial SSU rRNA". It matches the Rfam family "Bacterial small subunit ribosomal RNA", at positions 28 to 507 of the family's 1533-position model. The record is from RNAcentral.
GACGAACGCUGGCGGCGUGCUUAACACAUGCAAGUCGAACGGAACUCAUUGGAUCAAGACUUCGGUCAAGUGAAUUUGAGUUUAGUGGCGGACGGGUGAGUAACGCGUGAGGAACCUGCCUUUCAGAGGGGGACAACAGUUGGAAACGACUGCUAAUACCGCAUAACGCAUAGGAGUCGCAUGAUACAGUGUGAAAAACUCCGGUGGUGUGAGAUGGACCCGCGUCUGAUUAGCUGGUUGGUGGGGUAACGGCCUACCAAGGCGACGAUCAGUAGCCGGCCUGAGAGGGUGAACGGCCACAUUGGGACUGAGACACGGCCCAAAACUCCUACGGGAGGCAGCAGUGGGGAAUAUUGCACAAUGGGGGAAACCCUGAUGCAGCGACGCCGCGUGAGUGAAGAAGUAUUUCGGUAUGUAAAAGCUCUAUCAGCAGGGAGAAAAUGAGGUACCUGACUAAGAAGACUCCGGCUAAAUACGUG